CAGGGGCGGCGGCAGCGCAGAGCAGGGGCGGAAGGUCGGACGUGCGGGAGCUGCGUCCAGGGCGGCGGGCGCGGGGAGCCCCGGGGCGCGAGGGCCUGAAGGCAGGGCUGGGAGGUGCGAGCAACCUCCUCGCGCAUCCCGAGCAGACGCCGCGGCAAGCCGCGGCCAGAGACGGGGUGCGGGCCGGGGCAGGGGCGUGGCCCCGGAGGCGGGGCGGGGAGAUGCCUGGCUCUGGGGACUGGCUCAGGAGCCGCGGCAGAGGCUGGGACCCUGCGGCCGCCGGCGGCACAGUGGUGCCGCGCCCCGUCCUCACCUGCGCGGAGCAAGGAAGCAGCUUUAAGGCGUUCAAGAAAAUGCCCAAGAUCACGGAAGGGCAAAUUCGUUCUUUUAACCCGGGGCCGGGUGUCCCUCGCUUUCAGACGUGCCUUGAUUUCCUUCUAGACCCAGCUGGUGAACGCCCGAGGCCCCGGAGAGCCGUCGGGGGCGUGGCAGAGGCAGAGCCCAGCUUGCGCGGAGAGGGGCUGCCCAGGACCCCUGCCCGCCGCCCUGCCUCCGCCAGUCAGCGAUUUCGGAAACCGCAGCAGCCGGUAUCCUGGCGCACAUGGCGGGAAGCUGCCACGUUGCCCCCGUGGGGACUGAGGCCGGGCAGCACGCUCUGCAUCAUCAGGCACAUGGCCACGUCCGUCUGGAGUCGGGGUGAGGCGCCACUCAUGACUGGAGUUUAGGUCCAAAGUCCUGGCGGGCACGCACAAGAUGUAACCCAGCGGGUACACCUGCCAUCUCCGGAGGGCCCCGUGUCUGCCGGCGCCAGGGCAGCACUGCCCGUGGUUCUCACGGUGGGUCCGGGAGCCUUCAUGAAGGUUAUAGAACAUCCAAGGGCGCAGACAUGCAGGACCUCUAUCCCCCCCAACUUCCAGGAGCUCACGGUGGAGCGGUGGCUCGCGUUUUCUCCGAAUUCCCCCUCCCGGCUGGGCCGGCUCAGGACGGCCGGCUUAACGGUAACCUUCCCACGGGCAGCAUUUCUUUGCCUUCUCGCUCAGCGGAGAAAACACCGCCCUGGACUCCGGAACCCGUCUCCUCCCCUCCUGGAGCCGGUGGAGCUGGGGCUGCAGACCACCACCACUCCCUUGGAACGUCUGAGAACAAAACCCGCAGCAGGGACUGCUCCAGCACACUAACCCGGGGGCUUUGCAGCGCACCGGCCACACUCCUAAACCCACGUAUGAGUGGGACGGCUUUUCCAGCCUUGGGCAUCCUGACCUGCUUCACUCCGGGUCCCUGCACCUGUGCCACUCCAGGCGGGGCUUCCUUUUGUGGUCUGGCGGACUGGGGUGAGUAACAGAGACGGCCCCUCCCCCAGCCUGCCCAGCCCACGCUUUCCCCUAGGUGAAGACCUCCUAGGUCACCCUGGCCAAAAUGAUACGGACGGCCUCACCUAGAAGCCCUGGAGCUUUGAAGGCUGACACCAAAACCCGACAUGGCUCGAUGGGCACAACGGCCCAGUGUUCCAUGGUCUGAAAAAGCUGUUUUGACCCUUUACGUCUAUUCUCAUUGCUUUCCUGGAGGCAGCUACGCGUGGACCCUGAUUCUGUCAUUCUGGAACCAGCCAGCCACUGGUUUUUGUUUGGUCUUGUUUUUAACACAAUCUGUAAUCUUUCCUGUGUCAGGAUCCUUUUUCAGAUGUGAUGGAAGCCACAGGAAAACGUGCAGGUGAACACACACGCCCACACACUGAUCCGCAGGCUUAUGGGUAACUCUCCAUGUGGAUCUGGCGUUCUGACCACUCGCUCCAAGUGUUCAGAGGCGGCCUCUGGGAGACCAGCGGGUGGACCCGCGGGAGGGUCUUCUGCCUUCACUCCUCACUGGCUUCCCUGGUGCUCUUCAUUUCCUCCUGCAUUUUUAAAAAUUGUGGUAAAACCCGUAAUAUUUGCCACAUUAGUCAUUUAGUAGCGGACAGUGAAGGGGCACUGAGCGCUUGUGCAGUGUUGUGCGACCAUCACCACCACCAUCUCCAGAACUUUUCAUCAUCCCCGACUGAGACUCUAUCCCCAUUACACACUCACUCCUGCUCCCCUCUUCCCGCCCCCGUGCCCACCACCUCCCAGCUCACGCUUGUGAAUGUGGGCGUGUCCAUGUCUCACGAAGACCCUGCUUUCAAUUCUUUGGGGGGGAUAUACCCGGAAGUGGAAUUCCUGGGUCAUAGGUGGGUGUGUUUUUGAGCUUUGAGAAACUUCUGCACUGUUCUCCGGAGUGGCUGCACCAGUCUGCAUUCCCACCAGCAGUGCAUGAGGGUUCCAACUUCUCCACGUGCUUGUUUUUUCUUUUGUUGGGUAGUAGCCAUCCCGAUGGGCGCGAGGGUACCUCCCUGUGGUUCUGUCUGCACUGCCCUGAUGAGUGAGUGGAGCCUCUCUUCAGGCGCUUACUGGCCAGGCGUGUAUCUUCUUUGGAGAAACAUCUAUUCAGGUCCUUUGCCCACUUUGAAAUCAGGUUGUUUGUUGUGAACAAUUGUAGUUCUUCAUGUACUUUGGAUAUUAGCUCAUCAGGUAUAGGAUGUGCAAAUAUUAUUCUCUCAUUCAGGGGGCUGCCUUUUCAUUGUUGGUUGUGUCUUCUGAUACAUAAAAGGUUUUUAAUUUUGAUGUGAUCCAAUUCACAUUUUUUUCUUGGUUGCUUGAGGCUAAAGCAAUGGAAAAACCUGAAGAACCAGGAAAGGCUUUACAGGUCUUAGUGAGCAGGGAAGGUUGCCAGACAGGAGCGGGAGGAUAGUGUGACACGAGGAACAGGAAGUAAUUUUGUGUGGCUCCUGGGAAGGAGGACCUGCGUGAGGACGUCACUCAGCUUUAAGACUUCAAACAUGACAACUCAGGUACUUUCUCUUAGGAGUGUGACAAAGGUACAGAGGGCAGCGCCAAGGGGAGGAGACUGGAGGCAAGCAGGCAUCUUGGAGACCUCAUCAGGUUUGCGAGGGAAGGAGCCCGACGGUAACAGGGCUGCACAGACAUGACCAUUCAUGUAGCUGAGUCGCCGGGGCGAGGAGAGGGGCAGACAGGCAGGAAGGCAGAGGGGCACUUGGGGAGGGCGUCUCGGCCACGGCACGUCAGGAGGCAGCCCUUUGCCAUGGUGCUUGUCGAGAACCGGGAUGGGGGGCCUGUGGGAUGCGCGGUGGCCGAGGCAUUGACGUGCAGACAGGAGCGCUGACCGUCCCUGACGGGUGCGCAGAGCCAGCCAGCUUCCUGUGAAUGCAGACCUUAUUUCACACUGACUUUUUGAUUCAACAAACAUCAGGGAUCUGGGAGGGCUUCCUGGGAGUGCGAGCAUUUGGGUUAGAGAAGCUUUUUUGCCUCCUGCCUGUAGAAGUCUCUGGCAGCCUCGUUCGCUCGUGCGGCCAGUACCGCUCAACCGCGUCUUUCUUCAGUCACCAGAUAGUGGCAGGAUUUACACACGUCCAACUCUGCCUAAUGAGAGCAGGGACGUUCCCCUCGACACCCGGGACCUCCCCAGAGGGAAGCGCGCCGUGUGCGGCCGGUCCGCGGCAGGGAAUGGCGCUCCAGCGACUGCAGAGACGCGAUCCCGGAGCUGCCUGGACGGCUGGUGCAGCCCCCCACCCCCGGCGCUCCUGUGUCCCAGCAGCCCGUGCAGACAGCCACCAACAUAGCAACGCCUGGUCGCCGCGGAGAAAUGCACUCGUGCAGGAUUUUGCAGAACCCAAGGUAUUUCAUGGCAACACUAAUUCCAUCUGUGGUAUGUGAGAGGAAACGGUCGGUUCUAUAGGUAAGUACUUCCGUCUGCUUAGGGACAAAAUCAUUAGCUCCAAAGCAGGCACAUUUUGAGGUACAAUUUGUUAAAACAGGUAAAUGCCGGAAUACAGCACAUCUGGAAACGAUCGCUCUUAGGGCAUACUCUCAAAGAGCGCAAGAUAAAUACUUCCGGCAGCCGAUACGCUAUGUCACGCGGGGUGAGCCUGAGGUGUGCCCGCUCGGUAAGGGGCGGCUCACCGGGAGACCCCACAGAAGGGCGAGGGUUGGGGCGGAAGAGCUUGAGGACCCUGAGGCUGCACCUGUGAAGUGUGUGAUCUCUCCACCUGGAGAAACCCCAGCAGAGCGGGGAGGGGCGCCCGAAAAAGCAACGUCCUGAGUGUGUGACUGUCAUCAAAGCCCCACAGGAGUACGGAGAAUUCCUCUAACGUGGGAUUCAGUUCAUUUGUGUUUGUGUCUGUAUUCAGGACUUGGCUGAGAGGAUGUGCAGCUAAGGAAUGAUCGAGUGGGUCACAACUGUUUCUGGGGAAGCCACUUGAGGAAGACGCCCGGUGAGCACAGCGAGCGCAGCCCCCAACGUCUGCGACGGCACUGCUCUUAACUAUGCGGACGCGCCACACGUGCUGUGCAGUAAACGUCAGCUCCUGACCUGCGAAGACGGCCGACGACUCGGUCCAAUGGGAAGCGUCAGGGCGCGUGGUCUCCAAGGUUCUGACCGGUGGGUGCUGUCCCUCUGGGAGUUUUUAUUACACUGGCAGAGGAUGGGUGCCUUCCAGAAAUUCUAUUUUGUCUUGAAAUUACGCAAAAAAUACAGAAUAAAGCAUCACUCAAUUCUAAGUUCAAAAGUACAUUUAUUUAAAAUGUGGCCAAGAUAUCAAUAUAAAAGAAAAGAGUAUAAGAAAUAAAAAUAAAGUACAAAACAUUUCAAAUCUUUAACAUCCAUAAUUUAGCAAGGUAUUUACAUCAUUUGUAGCUGAAGUUCUGUUAACAGUGUCGUGAAAACAUUUAAAAACCUGGCAAAUGAA
Molecule: long non-coding RNA, 4777 nt
Organism: Ailuropoda melanoleuca (giant panda)
Lineage: Eukaryota; Metazoa; Chordata; Mammalia; Carnivora; Ursidae
Exons: 3
Source: RefSeq, a predicted model, not a curated record